Molecule: ribosomal RNA, 1346 nt
Filed under: uncultured bacterium
Lineage: Bacteria
Description: partial 16S ribosomal RNA
Rfam family: Bacterial small subunit ribosomal RNA
Source: RNAcentral
GACGAACGCUGGCUGCGUGCUUAACACAUGCAAGUCGAACGGAAAGGCCCUGCUUUUGUGGGGUGCUCGAGUGGCGAACGGGUGAGUAACACGUGAGUAACCUGCCCUUGACUUUGGGAUAACUUCAGGAAACUGGGGCUAAUACCGGAUAGGAGCUCCUGCUGCAUGGUGGGGGUUGGAAAGUUUCGGCGGUUGGGGAUGGACUCGCGGCUUAUCAGCUUGUUGGUGGGGUAGUGGCUUACCAAGGCUUUGACGGGUAGCCGGCCUGAGAGGGUGACCGGCCACAUUGGGACUGAGAUACGGCCCAGACUCCUACGGGAGGCAGCAGUGGGGAAUAUUGCACAAUGGGCGGAAGCCUGAUGCAGCAACGCCGCGUGCGGGAUGACGGCCUUCGGGUUGUAAACCGCUUUCGCCUGUGACGAAGCGUGAGUGACGGUAAUGGGUAAAGAAGCACCGGCUAACUACGUGCCAGCAGCCGCGGUGAUACGUAGGGUGCGAGCGUUGUCCGGAUUUAUUGGGCGUAAAGGGCUCGUAGGUGGUUGAUCGCGUCGGAAGUGUAAUCUUGGGGCUUAACCCUGAGCGUGCUUUCGAUACGGGCUGACUUGAGGAAGGUAGGGGAGAAUGGAAUUCCUGGUGGAGCGGUGGAAUGCGCAGAUAUCAGGAGGAACACCAGUGGCGAAGGCGGUUCUCUGGGCCUUUCCUGACGCUGAGGAGCGAAAGCGUGGGGAGCGAACAGGCCUAGAUACCCUGGUAGUCCACGCUGUAAACGGUGGGUACUAGGUGUGGGGUCCAUUCCACGGGUUCCGUGCCGUAGCUAACGCUUUAAGUACCCCGCCUGGGGAGUACGGCCGCAAGGCUAAAACUCAAAGGAAUUGACGGGGCCCCGCACAAGCGGCGGAGCAUGCGGAUUAAUUCGAUGCAACGCGUAGAACCUUACCUGGGUUUGACAUGGAUCGGGAGUGCUCAGAGAUGGGUGUGCCUCUUUUGGGGUCGGUUCACAGGUGGUGCAUGGCUGUCGUCAGCUCGUGUCGUGAGAUGUUGGGUUAAGUCCCGCAACGAGCGCAACCCUUGUUCACUGUUGCCAGCACGUUAUGGUGGGGACUCAGUGGAGACCGCCGGGGUCAACUCGGAGGAAGGUGGGGAUGACGUCAAGUCAUCAUGCCCCUUAUGUCCAGGGCUUCACGCAUGCUACAAUGGCUGGUACAGAGAGUGGCGAGCCUGUGAGGGUGAGCGAAUCUCGGAAAGCCGGUCUCAGUUCGGAUUGGGGUCUGCAACUCGACCUCAUGAAGUCGGAGUCGCUAGUAAUCGCAGAUCAGCAACGCUGCGGUGAAUACGUUCCCGGGGCU